CUCUUUUUUGCAAUAGCCAUUCUAACAAGAGUGAGGUGAUAUGUCAUUGUUUUGAAUUGCAUUUCUCUGGUGAUUAGUGCAGUUCAGCACCUUUUCAGAUUCCUGUUGGCCAUUUGUGGAGUCUCACUCUGUAGCCCAAGCUGGAGUGGCGUGAUCUCGACUCACUGCAACCUCCGCCUCCUGGGAUCAAGUGAUUCUCGUGCCUCAGCCUCCUGAGUAGCCGGGACUACAGUUGUCCCUUGGUGUGGGAUUGCUUCCAGUACCUCUGUGUGUAACAAAAGCUGCACCAUUCAAGUCCCACAGUUGCCCUGCGAAACCUCUGUAUAUGAAAAGUUGGCCCUCCAUGUACAUGGGUUUCCCAUCCUGUCACAGAAUUUUCCACACUCCUUGACAGAGGUGCUUAACCCUUAUCCAUCAGCAUUCUCAGACAGCACCUCCGGUUAGGGACAGUAUCUGACCGUCCGACAUCCCUGCAGCCCCCAUGUGUCACACAGACUCAGCCUCAGGUAGAUGGUUUCCGUAGAUGGUGGCUUUCUUUGGACCCUUGACAUCAACCAGUUACUAUUUGGUCUAGGGGUCUCACCAACGCUGCUCAUCUAGCAGGGCCACACAUAACAAAUAGAAGCAGAGCAAGCCCUGGAACUCCUGCCUGACAGUGACACGACGACAGAAACAUCUUACCAGUCAGAGGACCAUGAGAAAUAGAUUCAAGGAGCAUUCCACGUGCAAGUGAGUCUUGGCCCCAUCUGCCUUUGGAUUUUAGCCGUGAACUGGAAGGUAUUGGAAAGAAGACCCUCAGAAAUAGCUUAAUCAAAAUCCCUGCGUCUGAACCAAGUGCCUUAUUUCUCUGUGGGCCUCAAGCUUCGCUGACAUCUGUGGAGCACACUGUCCUAACAGGAGUGCUGUCUGAUUUCCCAACGCUCUGCAAAACAAACAGCCUGGAAGGGUGGCUGGUGGAAGGUGGUUUUUAGAGAGAGACUUGUAGAUAACAGGAAAGUGAAGGCUGUAAGGAAGGUUGUAAUUAAACAGCACAUGGAAACACAAUCACAUUAUUGUCCCAUUCCAUAGGGAUAAUGAUGACCACUUCAGUGGGAAAAGGAGAGGUUUUAAGUCAUUAGGGACUAUGGGCCACCUUUUAGGAAGAUUUAUUUUCAAAGGUUAAAAUAGUGUUUUGGCAAUUCAAGUUUCAUUUUCAGAAAAUGUAAUUGAUGGGAACCUCAGUGACUCUGGAUGAAUAAGAUGCUGUUGAGUGGCUCUGACUUGGGCCAGCCGUGCUUCUCACAGGACCUUGGAGACCAAGGUCACUGUGAUCUCAGGUUCAGGGGGCAAGUCCUCUCCACACAGCCCUAGUUGGCCUCACAGCUGAAAAUGUCUCCCUUACUGUUGGACUCCUUUGUUCACCCACAUGAGUUUGUGAAUAAAUCCUUUCCAGUCUGAAA
Molecule: long non-coding RNA, 1439 nt
Filed under: Homo sapiens (human)
Lineage: Eukaryota; Metazoa; Chordata; Mammalia; Primates; Hominidae
Description: PCBP1 antisense RNA 1
Source: RNAcentral